This 1535-nucleotide long non-coding RNA is filed under the name Homo sapiens (human). RNAcentral's name for it is "HSALNT0018174". The record is from RNAcentral. Lineage: Eukaryota; Metazoa; Chordata; Mammalia; Primates; Hominidae.
GCUUUCGUUCUUUUGUUGCUUCAUUCUUUCCUUGCUUUGCCGUGCGUUUUGUCCAAUUCUUUGUUCAAAACGUCAAGAACCUGGACAAUUUGCAGUCAAGACCUGCUACCGGUAACACUAUGGGAAUGUUUUUCAGUGGAACAGACGGGCCUGGGGGCUCAGGGAAACUCUCCCUAGCCUUGAGAGAUUCACUCAGCCAGAACUAAAAAUGAGGUCAGUGGGGACAGCAUGGAGAUGAGUUCGUCCAGGGUCUGCGGGUGGAAACAGGCUGUCCUGGCCGUGACUUCUGCCUGGACUGAAAGAUGCUCACCCCACAGGGAACCAGGAGGAUCAGUGUCGCUUCCAUCAGCUCAGCCCACCGGUCAAAGCUCAGUGAAUUCUCACCUGCUCUUCUGCUCUAGCUGCUUCCCUGCUGUACUCAGCCCUUACCUUCAACUCCCUCAGCACUCCUCCUCCAGUCUCCCACUCUCUGUAUCACUGGGGAUCAUUCUCAGCUGCUAGGAGCUUGUGGAUGCCUUUGAGAACCUGACGAAGGCUAUGGACAGUCUUCCCGGAGAAAAAAGCACAUAGGGAAUUCUGCCUACAAGUUUAGAAAAUUCAUGAAACCCCUAAAGCUCAUCCUUGGAGCCCACCACUUCCCUGGGCAUCCAUGGGCUCAGGACUGGGAAGGCCGGACCUGUAACCCCAGAAGCCUCUCACACUCCAUCAGGCCUGGCUGCCUGCAGCACACCUCAGCUGGUAGCACCUGCCCUGCAAUGUGCCUGUCCCUCCUCAGGGCAACCGAGAGUCUCAGAGAGCUGUUGUGGGAAAGCCUCAGGCAGAGUUCUGGCUGAGCAGAAGCUCCUGACAAGUGGUUUAAUUCCUUCCCAUGGGGGCACAGUGAGGUUCAGCAAGGCUGCCCAGGGGUGAGAAAGCAGCUGGUGCUGGCUGAUGCCUUAAGGAAGAGAGCUCCAGAACAUGGACAAAGAUGACAGGAUGGAGUACUUUAAAAACCACUUGGAAAUAUGCUUCAGUACUUCCUGCUCUCACUGCAGUCACUACAGCAACCUGCAGGUCUCAAAAGUCCCUCUUUGCUCACUGCCCCUUUCAAUUAGACAAAGUCAUUUUCAUUCUCUGUUUAGUGGGCAACAUGCCUGCGAAUACCGGUGCUUUCUCAGAACGGAGGCUUCUGAAGAGAGUCCCAGCUAUGAACUCUGAAAAGCAGAAGGAAAAUUAUUUUUUCCUCCCCUACCCUGGGAACUCCUGGAAGAUAAGGACCAUCAUCAUGUCGCCUGAAGUAUUUCUCUCCUAGGCCCCCACAGUGUGUGUUCACAAUGGCCUCAUUCCCCUUGCUGGCUAAUGCAGAGCUGGAAGAAGGUAUAUUCAAGCCUUUUCUUGCACAGCAAGGAGGAUGACUAAGGAGCUAAGAGAUGUGAGCCGAAGCCUCCCUCAGUGUCUAUUUGCUGACCCAAUAACCCAUCUUGAGCAUUCCUGAAGUUGGUGAAAACCAGCUCUUCACUUGAUAUAAUCUUGAAUAAAAAAAGAAAGCAUUUCCC